GGGGUUGUGGCUCAGUGGUAGAGCGCUUGCCUAGCAUGUGUAAGGCACUGGGUUCAAUUCUCAGCACCA
Non-coding RNA from Ictidomys tridecemlineatus (thirteen-lined ground squirrel), 69 nucleotides. Lineage: Eukaryota; Metazoa; Chordata; Mammalia; Rodentia; Sciuridae. The record is from Rfam.